Molecule: non-coding RNA, 124 nt
Organism: Acanthosepion pharaonis
Lineage: Eukaryota; Metazoa; Mollusca; Cephalopoda; Sepiida; Sepiidae
Source: the annotation of a GenBank genome assembly
AUGGCCAUAUCACCUUGAAACAUUGGUUCUCGUCCGAUCACCGAAGUUAAGCAAGGUCGAACACGAUCAGUACUUAGAUAGUCGAACUUGAUCUGUACUUAGAUGGGAAUACCAGGUGCUGUAA